Long non-coding RNA from Sycon ciliatum, 551 nucleotides. RefSeq lists it as uncharacterized. The record is from RefSeq and is a predicted model, not a curated record. The transcript has 2 exons. NCBI's taxonomy places the organism in Eukaryota, Metazoa, Porifera, Calcarea, Leucosolenida, Sycettidae.
UCCUGUUCAGCUCUGUGCAUGCUUCGUCACAUCACAUCUCCAGCGUAACCUGUGCUACCCUCUCUAGUUGGGACGUCAUGUGGCCAGGCGACUGACCCAUACAGGGGAGGAACAUUACUGCAGUACCUCGUACUAGUGCUGCAGCUGGGCAUUGACCUUAGGCAGUCACUCAGCAUGAGAUAGAGAUGAUGGCGAUGCGGUCUUUUUCCUGGAUGGUGAUGCGGUCUUUUUCCUGGAUGGUGACAGUGCACUAGUAACUCACUCUCUCACUGACUCCCUGACUCUCUCACUCAGUGUCUCACUGUCUGUGUUCCGAUGCACAAUUACUGUAUUGGUUAUAAUUGCUGUUACAUCAUCAUCACACUUGAUACACCCGAUCAUCGUCACACCAGUGCUACACUAGCCCAGCUAGCUAGCGGAUGUAGCAACACCAGUGCUUGAGAGUGUGUGACUGAUCCCCUGCUGCCUAGGAACACUAAUGCAGUUAGAUCGCAAUACAAUAAGUAUACUAAUCAACAUUGAGACUGUGAUUAUUGUGUUCCUAAUUCUGA